RNAcentral lists this RNase P RNA (258 nucleotides) under Candidatus Pelagibacter sp. Its description in RNAcentral is "partial RNase P RNA component class A". It matches the Rfam family "Bacterial RNase P class A", at positions 106 to 367 of the family's 367-position model. Rfam says of the family: Ribonuclease P (RNase P) is a ubiquitous endoribonuclease, found in archaea, bacteria and eukarya as well as chloroplasts and mitochondria. Its best characterised activity is the generation of mature 5'-ends of tRNAs by cleaving the 5'-leader elements of precursor-tRNAs. Cellular RNase Ps are ribonucleoproteins. Lineage: Bacteria; Pseudomonadati; Pseudomonadota; Alphaproteobacteria; Candidatus Pelagibacterales; Candidatus Pelagibacteraceae. The record is from RNAcentral.
AUAGUGCCACAGAAAAUAAACCGCCAUAACAUGGCAAGGGUGAAAAGGUGUGGUAAGAGCGCACCGGUUCUAUUGGUAACAAUGAACGCUGGAAAACCCCACUGGGAGCAAGACUAAGUAGAGAUGACAUUGUUGAAAAAACUAAAAGCCUUCCUUGGCUAGUCAUCAGGGUUAGUUGCUUGAGCUUAAGAGUGAUCUUAAGCCUAGACAAAUGGUAAGUUUAAAUGACAGAACCCGGCUUAUAGUUUAUCUGGCACU